This is a small nuclear RNA of Hippoglossus stenolepis (Pacific halibut), 161 nucleotides long. RefSeq annotates it as U1 spliceosomal RNA. The record is from RefSeq and is a predicted model, not a curated record. NCBI's taxonomy places the organism in Eukaryota, Metazoa, Chordata, Actinopteri, Pleuronectiformes, Pleuronectidae. The transcript has a single exon.
AUACUUACCUGGCGGGGGGGAUACCAUGAUCAUGAAGGUGGUUCACCCAGGGCGAGCUCAGCCAUUGCACUCGAUUGUGCUGACCGUGCAGAUUUCCCCCAAAUGUGGGAAUCUCGACUGCAUAAUUUGUGGUAGUGGGGGACUGCGUCCGCUCUCCCCUG